ACCACACCAACCUCCAUCGAACCAGCUCGUCUUCUUCCUCUCCUCCAUUUCCUCUCCUCCCCUGGAGCACCAGCAAGGAUCUCCAUUUCUUCGAUCUCCUUCGGCUCCACGCCAUCCAUGCCACCCUAGGCCAGGGCAGCAGAUCAACCUCCACAAACAAGGUAAUUUAGCCAUAGCAAGAUGUACCAACUAGCAAGCGGUCAUGAAGUUCCAUCCGUUCUGGACAAAUAGAAUCUCAGCGAUGCCUCUCCUAAUGAACUUGGCAGUGAUGUGGACUGUUUUGGUGGAUCAAGUGGCCCUCCCGGCAGUCCUGCGAUUACAUCUAGGCUUUCUCUGUUGAAAUUAGGUUUAGUCAUAGCUAAGUUUUUUGAUUUCAAGAAAAAGCUCGUAAGGGAAAUUGGGUUUGAUGGAUUGCUCCAGAUAAAAUCAUGGCAGAAGAUAAAUCUGAAGUACAGUUCUUAUCUGAUGGAUAGGGUUCAUGUGGAUAGUAGUACAAUCAACUUGGAGGGUUAGGGCAUGCUUACGCUAUCUGACAAAGAAGUACAAUACGUUUUUGGUAUCCCUUGCGGUGAGAAAACAAUAAGUUCAUAAGGCAUUGAACCGUCUGAAGCAUGUAUUGAGUAUUCAAGAUUUGCAACUAUCUUUGGUGACAAAGGUACACACAGCCUCAAGGCAGCAUCGACAUAUCUGAUCCGCGACAUCACCGUUGAAUCUAGGAAGAUAGAAGUUGACUGCUUCAAGAUUGAAUUUGUCAUUUUCGCCAUAGGUCAUGUACUCGCACCUUCAACAAAGCAUGACUACACUACAAUUGAUUUCUGGGCAGCAACUAAUGAUGUAUCUAAAAUCAGAGAUUGGAACUGGUGUGGUUACCUUCUGAAGCAACUUUUUCAAGCUGCCAGGAAGUUUAAGACAGAUGUAACAAGGCGCACCCCCACCAUUCACAUUGUUGGAUGCCACUUCUUCCUGCAGGUUUGUGUAUUAGAUAGCCUUGAUCUGGGUCUGUUGAGCAAAGCAAGGGGAAUGUUCCCGAGAAUGGCACUUUUUGAUUAUGAUUCAAUGAAGAAAAUGAUUGAGCAAGGAAAUGGUAUGCGCCACGGACAAUGAUCUGAACCAAAACAAGUCAAGGGCAUCACCCAACACAACAAGAGUUCAGACUCCAUCUACGCCUAUCCUCAGAGCCGAUUAUGGCAAGUUGGGCGAGAAGCUUGGUAUACUUCUUAGAGAGCACAAUGCGCGUGGGCUGGCUUGCAUAUCAGAGAUGAGGGAAUCUUUCCAAAACUCGACGUUUGGUUUCGCAGAUAAAAUAUUAGGUGUGUAGCCGAAAAUUGUACAUGUUGCAAGGAGAAUGGUCGGAAACAGUGCAUUCUGAAGAGCGAGGAACCGAACAACGCCAACAUUGGCAAUUUGUCACCAGAGAAGAUGAAUGUUUGUCACCCCAAUUGCCAAUAGGAUAGUAGCAAGGUUGUCUGCGCCAGUCGAUAAUGAAGGUACCUCAUCAGCAAAUGGCUCAAUUGCCCAUAAAAGGGCUGCCGCACCCAACUCAAGCAACGAGCAAGACACAUCAAAGAAAAUCUGUGUUCGCCAGGACACGCCUCUUUAGAUGGUUUCUCCAUCGGUCAUUGACACUGUCAACAACUCAUCUUUGUCAGCCAAGCAAGAAGCUCGCAAUGAGGUUGCCAACUUGGUUUACAACUUCUUUGAUGAUCUUACAACUGUCAUUGCUACAUACUACGCUGAGCUCUGCCCAAGGGCUGAUUAUGUCACCUUUGGCACUACAAACGACAUUGUCCCAACAAAAAUGCGAUUGCCAAAGUGUAAUUUAGCACGUGACUCUUGGGAAAUUGGAUCUGUACCACUCCCACCAUCACCAAUAGUUCUGAAAGCUAUCAAGGAUUGGUUAUCUGCUGCAUCGCCCUUACUGCUAGAGAGGAAAUGGAUUGUGCACCCACAUCCAAGGCUAGUAUCAGUUGAUGGAACAGAAAUCCAGCAACAACUAGCAGGAAGCGAACAUCUUGGCCAUGAGAUGGCAUCAGUAAUUUAUAGACGCCUCCAUCAGAUGGAUAUAUUGUUCUCUAAAGAUAGCGCAGGGAUGAUAUGGAGGAAAUUCAUGGAACCUAAGUUUCUCAUAAGUCCAACGUUAACUAGCAUUUUCUACAUCAUUUCCUUGAACUAUUGAUUACUAAAUUCUCCAUCACAUGCCUUAACCAAAAAAUGCCAUUGUUUUAUAGACAACAGUGUUGUCGAACGUUGACCCCUUAACAAUAUAAUCUAUCCGCACUAGCUUCACCGGUGCACUUGAUAAUUGGAACCCUGCCUCAACGAGAGUGGUAAGUAUAUAACCCAGUAUUCUUUUUUAACAACUAGCAUCUUACUAAUUUAGCUGUCCAUGAUCUAUUCCCAACAGUGGCACAUACCAGCCAUCUUGCCCGAUGGAUGGGCCGUCUACUCAUUUGAUAUGCUGAAAAGGAGGAUAUUUGUUCUUGAUCCAGCCAUGGGACCAUUUGGCUUUAGCAAUCGCAGGGUAAACAUGCAUACAUAUGUGUCAAACCUUCUGCACUCCGCCCUCUUCAGAUGCCUGCAGUGCCUCUAUGAGUCGUGGCAUUGCAGUUGUGGAGAAUGGACCAGGUCAUUUCUAAUGCUCAUGGCGGAGAAGGUUGAUAAGUAAGUUGAAAUCCACUUCCAACAACGUGUGUCUCAAAUUUUAUAUUAGCAAUCAACAUAUGCCUAAUUACAUUUUUACACGCACGGUACAACAUGGAGGAUUAUGGCAUAUGUGCGACAUUUCUUGCUAGGAAUUUCAAUGGCGAAAAGCUGCAAAUCCCUUUGACCAAGGCCAACCUGGACAUGCACAAGAACCUCACGCUGUACGAGGUCAUGCGUCUAAAAGGCAAUGAGUCUCUAAUCCCACAUGAUGCCAUUGAAGCUAUCAAGGGCUCUUUCAUUGUCAUUUGAAUUAUUUGUAUGCAUAUAUAUUUUCUAUGUAUGGGGAACCCGAAACAAACAAUGAUGCAUCUCAUGUUUUAAAUAGGCAUUUUGUAUCAGACUAUUUUUCUUAAACACAAUGCAAGACCCUUCAAUCAUUCACAUA
This is a non-coding RNA of Triticum urartu, 3088 nucleotides long. NCBI's taxonomy places the organism in Eukaryota, Viridiplantae, Streptophyta, Magnoliopsida, Poales, Poaceae. The record is from RefSeq and is a predicted model, not a curated record.